RNAcentral lists this ribosomal RNA (440 nucleotides) under uncultured bacterium. RNAcentral's name for it is "partial 16S ribosomal RNA". It matches the Rfam family "Bacterial small subunit ribosomal RNA", at positions 338 to 795 of the family's 1533-position model. The record is from RNAcentral.
CCUACGGGGUGCUGCAGUGGGGAAUAUUGCACAAUGGGGGAAACCCUGAUGCAGCGACGCCGCGUGAGUGAAGAAGUAUUUCGGUACGUAAAGCUCUAUCAGCAGGGAAGAAAAUGACGGUACCUGACUAAGAAGCCCCGGCUAACUACGUGCCAGCAGCCGCGGUAAUACGUAGGGGGCAAGCGUUAUCCGGAUUUACUGGGUGUAAAGGGAGCGUAGACGGCAGCGCAAGUCUGGAGUGAAAUCCCAUGGCUUAACCAUGGAACUGCUUUGGAAACUGUGCAGCUAGAGUGCAGGAGAGGUAAGCGGAAUUCCUAGUGUAGCGGUGAAAUGCGUAGAUAUUAGGAGGAACACCAGUGGCGAAGGCGGCUUACUGGACUGUAACUGACGUUGAGGCUCGAAAGCGUGGGGAGCAAACAGGAUUAGAUACCCGAGUAGAC